GCCUUGGUGCAAGGCAAGACUUCCUUUACUCUACAACUAUAUUCAAAGUCAUUAUUGGUAUGUUUGUAUCUUUUCUACCUUUUGAAACUCUCACUUGCCCCUUCAGCAUUAAAUUUGACUUGGUAGAUAUUAGAUUGUAACUUUUAUCUUAUGAUAUCUUUUCUACCUUUUGAAACUCUCUCUUGCCCCUUCAGAAUUAAAUUUGACUUGGUAGAUAUUAAAUUGUAUAUGUGCUGAAACGCUGGGUGUGUGAUUGUUUUCUUUUUAAGACUAAUACCAGAAGAAUGUUCAAUUAUACUUCUAGACAGUCCUAAUACCCUAGAAUAAUAAUUUUGUCAGAUCCUCUCCUCAAGGUCUAGACUGUCUUUGCCCCUAUAUAUCUUCUACUAAUAACUUGAAAGAUCCUUAAGACUAUGUUUAAAAACUACCUUGAUCUUUCCAUCACAGUCAAAACUCCUGCUUUUACCAAUUUAUAUCAAAUUCUUUUGUAAUCUUUCCCUUUUUUGUUAAUUUUUUGAGCAGAAAUUCUUAAGGUAUUAUUUCAAUUUGAACCUUUUGCAAUAUUUUGAAGUGGGAUGCCACUUGGGUUGGGCAUCUGGUGGGCCUUACGACCAGAUCAAUGAACAUCUCUCUAGAAAGGGAUAUUUCUC
RNAcentral lists this long non-coding RNA (650 nucleotides) under Nicotiana benthamiana. Its description in RNAcentral is "long non-coding RNA (NBEN_LNC023373)". Lineage: Eukaryota; Viridiplantae; Streptophyta; Magnoliopsida; Solanales; Solanaceae. The record is from RNAcentral.